This 28-nucleotide non-coding RNA is filed under the name Mus musculus (house mouse). Lineage: Eukaryota; Metazoa; Chordata; Mammalia; Rodentia; Muridae. The record is from RNAcentral.
UUAUAGUGUUGAAGGUGUUUACUGGGGC